CAUCAAAGAGGACUGCCCCCUCCAUACGCUUUUUUUCCCUCUUCCUCAUUCGGGGGAGGGGGUGCAGAACUUCCCCUGAGAUGAGCGGUGCAGUGAAAUCCAUCACAUUGGCCUUGAAGCAGAGCAGCGACACAUGAGCAGGCUGCAGUGGACAGGCAUGGAACAGUAAGGCUGUCAGAGGAAUUACCUGCUGGAUGCUAACACAGAGCCUCCACCUCCAGAGCACACCAGUGAUCAUACAGGCUUCUCAGCAGAGGCUCGUGUGUGUCUGGAGUGAGACAGCAGCAGCCCGAGUGUGAACUCGACACCGAGCUGGAAAUGCCACAGCACCGCCAAGCACACCUGGCAUGCUGCUUGACGGGACGAGUGGGAAAAGCUGCAGCAACGCGACGCUCAGAAGGGGAGCGCGCUAACAAAGUUCAAACACAAAGUGAGAGCUUCUUAUCUGUCCGUCCAGCAGCCAGAGCGGAUUGGAGUGACACUGGAAUCUGAGAGCCACUCACUGCUGGGAAGCAACGUAAACCUGUACGUGGGAAUGCAGAGCUGCAGCACUUAACCCAAUUAUUAUUCAAGAAAAGAUCAGAACCGGUUUCCACAAUUUUCUCCUCUGUCAGUGUUCUAGAAUCACAAACGUCAGCACUGAUGCACUGAAAAAGAGAACUUAAAAAAGGUUUCCCCUUUUUUUCCCCAUUCAAGACCUGGAUUCGAGUGAAGUCUUCCACUGAAAUCCUAAUGAAAACAUUGAUGGCUGUACUGUGUUGCUUUAUAAUGUGAAAGUAGGACACAAAAUGGAACACAAAGGCAGCCUGGAGCAGCACAAACUGUCACCACAGCCUUCAGGGGAGACUGGAUCCAAGCCCUCGAGCCGCAUAAUAAACUAUGAUGUGGAGAAAACACUAGAGGAAGAGUCGUACUUAGCUCAAAGUUAACGUCCUACAAACAAGCGACUGGGACGGAGAGCUGUGAGGGAGAAGCCCUCAGCUGUCACUUUAUUAGGAACAGCAGCUAGACUCCACUCUAGAGCAGAGCUGCGACAGCGAGGGGUCAGAAGCGAUGGCGGGGCUCGUGAGUCACGCAGCUUCAAAUAGCUCAGAGGGAAAAAGCACACACCUCCACAGGCUGUGAGUCCACGGUGCCGCCUCAGCUCUCACACUGCCCAUCACAACAGAACCACACGUCCACGUACUGGACGGUGAGCGUGCAGCGCUGCAAGGGGUCAGCGUCCUGCUAUGCUUGAAGGACACCUGGAUCAGCUGAUUGCCACUUCACAAACAUCUGCUUCCGCAGCUACCAGCUUGGUUUCCAUGGAUGCAUAAACAAAACAGCUGCUACACGCUGCCAAAAUGAAGCGGUCUGUCAGUGCAUGCGUCCUGGCUCCGCCGUCUCCACCACGGUGAUAUGAGCGACCGCCGCCUCCAUGUCCGCUCUGCUGAGCUACUCACCCGCUACACGUCCCGGCGCCGUCUGCUAGCAGCCGUAUCAGUGUUUACGUCGGAAGCCUCGCAGACACAUGUCAGGCUAACAGGCUAACGGGCUUAGCAGCUUUAUGGAUCACAGCAGCUGUGGCCGUACGGCAUUAGCAGCGACGCGCUACUGGGCUGAACCGAGCCCUCGGCUCCGUCUUCCUGGAGCUGGAAGCCCAGCCUCGGCCAGCAGGACGCCCGCACCAGCCCGGCCGACGCUAUAACGCCUCUGUGGCUUGCGGAACCAAGCCCGGAGGAAGGAGCCGGGAGCCGCGGGGACCCGCCGGACCCGCUCCUAUGCUGCUGACGGGCAGCUACAGCGGGCCAGACGUCCACAAGCGCCUGUAACCAUCAUGUUUUCACGGCUUCUGCCUGACGAGCUUCGGCCGCUGGAGCCCGUUUCUCCCCGUUAGGAAGCGCAGACCUCAGGCCUGCCCUCGGCUAACUGGGUCGGGCUAACGCUGGGCGGAAAACGCCCGGAGCAGCGCGGUGUCUCCGAACUAGCCGUCCCGCUACACAGGCUACGCUUACCCGUCGGAAGGACCGAGGCUCCGGGCUUCUUGGUUAACAUGGCGGCCGCUCCUCUCCUCUGGACACGGACGGACCGGACGCCUCCUCUUCCUCAGCAGGAGCUCCUCCUCUUCCUCCUCUUCCUCCCCUUCCUCUUCCUGAACCACCUCCUCAGCGCCGCCACUCCCCAACUCAACCACACUCUCUUUUAGAGUUGAUUUGACAAGUCCCUUCUCAUGUGACACAAGCAAUAUUGUUAUUGUUGUUGUUAUGAUUGUUUAAGAGGUUAAUUUUAAACCUAAAUUACAAAGCAAAAGUCACAUUUAUUGUAGGUUUUUAUUGUAUUGUAGGUUUACAUUUAUUAUUAAUCCAAUUAUUACUUUGAAGAGCCCUUAUUGUGUCAGACAACAGUAUGAGUAGAAGCCCUUUGGCAGCUAAGUCUGGAGUUAGUCUCUAAAAGCUUGUCACACUGGCAGUUGGACAGUUUAUCCCAUUAUUUCUGAUAGAUCCUCUCAAGUGUAUGUCAACUGCCUAUUCCUGCUCUAGACCUGCAGAACUGUCUAUCUGUCUGUUACUGAGUCACAGGUUGUGGCCUCCAUCCAUCCACUCCACCAUUAAUGGCCAGUGUUCCUCCCAUCUUCAGGGAACGUGUGGCGCUGUGGUUGAGAGAGACCAGGGUUCAUCUGGUCGUCUCCUCGUCCAGAGUCACAGUUUAGUUAGAUGUCCACGUGGAAUCUCGCUCUUCUCCGACCUUUCUGUUGCUAACUUUCAGUUUAUUAAAGCCACUGUUCUGACGUACAGUAAACCCCAGAAAUGUUUAAAAAUGUGUGAUCAGCAACAAAUACACAAAUGAAGAAAAUACUGUAACAGGCACUAGUUCGGUUCAGAUUUUACCAUUUCUUAGUAGAGACUCAUCAUCAGACUGUAGGCAGUCACUAUAAUAAUACUGAUGUUUUACCAAUUUAAUAAAAGUAAAACCACUGUUACUCACCACAGAACUGAGACGCUGUCUGAAGCAGGUAGGGUAACUAGUAACAAUAAAACUCAUCAUUCAAAGUGCAUCAGAGCAGAAUGGUCCUCUUCAACCUCCAUUUCCCAUGUGAGCCCUUCAUGGCUUUUCCCAACAUGUAAUUAUUCAUCAAGCUGGUGGAAACCAACCGCAUGUUUACCUGUUGCAGACGCAGGGAGCUGCGUUGUGUUGACAACAUUUGUCCAGUCACCGUCUGCAUGUGUCUCAGGUGUCACUGCUUUUAGGUGAAUUAAAAAGAUGCAGGGAACUACCAGACGUCACAGAGUUUUAUUAUUAUUUGCUGCCCCACAGACCUAAAAGGGCCAUGACCAGACACAGCGUCCUGCAUGUUUCACUGCUACAAUAAAAUAGUACCAUAAAUUCACGCUCACCCUUUUUCACCUGAAGGUAGUUUAUGGUUUAGAUGUUAACCCAGAGCCCAUCUGUUAAUGCGUCUGCAUCCAGACUCAUGACAUGUAAAAAUAAUGUGUACAUGUUAGUAGUUCUGGGGGCAGUUUUAAUCUUUAGAAUUCACACACAUUCAUGAAUGAUGCAAAUUCAAGAGAAAAUAUUGUUUUUAUGGGGAUUAUUGUGUUUGUACACCUGCUAUAGAAAUAAGUAGCAGAACUGAUCAGCCAGAACAAGAGCACUACCUGGUGGUUGCAUGUUGUUCACAUUGACAUGGCUCAUUUGGUCCAGUACAAAUGUUGUGUGAGCACAUUAACUGGUGACUGACUUCCGUUGAGUUGUUUUACCUGGGUAACAUCCUGUUAACUGUCCUCAUCAAUGCCUUGGUUUACGUUACCUAUCUGUUAGAGCGUGCGCUCUCCACGACAGAGUAAUCUAUGGACGCAGCAAAGCGUUUACCUUGUGUUUUGUGUCGUGUUUUUUAUGAACGAUAAGGAGCAUCUCAUCUUCUUACAUAUCACGCUGUUUAAAAGCAUUGUUAAAAUAAACGUGAUCACCUAAGCAAACA
This is a long non-coding RNA of Betta splendens (Siamese fighting fish), 3958 nucleotides long. RefSeq lists it as uncharacterized. NCBI's taxonomy places the organism in Eukaryota, Metazoa, Chordata, Actinopteri, Anabantiformes, Osphronemidae. The transcript is spliced from 3 exons. The record is from RefSeq and is a predicted model, not a curated record.